Non-coding RNA from Pelobates cultripes (western spadefoot toad), 494 nucleotides. The record is from the annotation of a GenBank genome assembly. Lineage: Eukaryota; Metazoa; Chordata; Amphibia; Anura; Pelobatidae.
CCAGGCAGGAGUGUAUUGGGGUGGUAUUGCAUUUGCACAGGCUGGUAUUGGGGUGGUUCAGGCUGGUAUUGCAUUGGCACAGGCUGGUAUUGGCUUGGCACAGUAUUGAGCUGGUAUUGGUUUGGCACCUUUGUCGAAUUGAGCUGCACUGGGUGGUAUUGGGUUGAUACAGGCUGGCACUGGGUGGUAUUGGGUUGGUACAAGAUGGCACUGGGUGUUAAUGGGCUGGUACAGGCACUGGGUAGUGGUUGCUAUUGGGUUGGUACAGGGUGGUAUUGGGUUGGUACUGGGUGGCACUGGCUUGGUAUUGGGUUGGCACUUGGUUGGUGUAACCGCAGGUGGUUCCCUUAUUUACAACUAUAAUGUCUUAAAGCAUAGAAUUUAGUAGGGCUAACCAUACAGAUAUCUUAGCCAUAAUUUUAUAUAGUUAGUAAGAGAUCCUCUAUUUAACAUAUAUAAAUAAUUGAGAAUACAAUAUAAAAUAAGGAUUGUCU